UUUGAUCCUGGCUCAGGAUGAACGCUGGCGGCGUGCCUAAUACAUGCAAGUCGAGCGAACGGACGAGAAGCUUGCUUCUCUGAUGUUAGCGGCGGACGGGUGAGUAACACGUGGAUAACCUACCUAUAAGACUGGGAUAACUUCGGGAAACCGGAGCUAAUACCGGAUAAUAUUUUGAACCGCAUGGUUCAAAAGUGAAAGACGGUCUUGCUGUCACUUAUAGAUGGAUCCGCGCUGCAUUAGCUAGUUGGUAAGGUAACGGCUUACCAAGGCAACGAUGCAUAGCCGACCUGAGAGGGUGAUCGGCCACACUGGAACUGAGACACGGUCCAGACUCCUACGGGAGGCAGCAGUAGGGAAUCUUCCGCAAUGGGCGAAAGCCUGACGGAGCAACGCCGCGUGAGUGAUGAAGGUCUUCGGAUCGUAAAACUCUGUUAUUAGGGAAGAACAUAUGUGUAAGUAACUGUGCACAUCUUGACGGUACCUAAUCAGAAAGCCACGGCUAACUACGUGCCAGCAGCCGCGGUAAUACGUAGGUGGCAAGCGUUAUCCGGAAUUAUUGGGCGUAAAGCGCGCGUAGGCGGUUUUUUAAGUCUGAUGUGAAAGCCCACGGCUCAACCGUGGAGGGUCAUUGGAAACUGGAAAACUUGAGUGCAGAAGAGGAAAGUGGAAUUCCAUGUGUAGCGGUGAAAUGCGCAGAGAUAUGGAGGAACACCAGUGGCGAAGGCGACUUUCUGGUCUGUAACUGACGCUGAUGUGCGAAAGCGUGGGGAUCAAACAGGAUUAGAUACCCUGGUAGUCCACGCCGUAAACGAUGAGUGCUAAGUGUUAGGGGGUUUCCGCCCCUUAGUGCUGCAGCUAACGCAUUAAGCACUCCGCCUGGGGAGUACGACCGCAAGGUUGAAACUCAAAGGAAUUGACGGGGACCCGCACAAGCGGUGGAGCAUGUGGUUUAAUUCGAAGCAACGCGAAGAACCUUACCAAAUCUUGACAUCCUUUGACAACUCUAGAGAUAGAGCCUUCCCCUUCGGGGGACAAAGUGACAGGUGGUGCAUGGUUGUCGUCAGCUCGUGUCGUGAGAUGUUGGGUUAAGUCCCGCAACGAGCGCAACCCUUAAGCUUAGUUGCCAUCAUUAAGUUGGGCACUCUAAGUUGACUGCCGGUGACAAACCGGAGGAAGGUGGGGAUGACGUCAAAUCAUCAUGCCCCUUAUGAUUUGGGCUACACACGUGCUACAAUGGACAAUACAAAGGGCAGCGAAACCGCGAGGUCAAGCA
This 1276-nucleotide ribosomal RNA is filed under the name Staphylococcus aureus. Its description in RNAcentral is "bacterial SSU rRNA". It matches the Rfam family "Bacterial small subunit ribosomal RNA", at positions 12 to 1269 of the family's 1533-position model. The record is from RNAcentral. Lineage: Bacteria; Bacillati; Bacillota; Bacilli; Caryophanales; Staphylococcaceae.